GUGGGGAAUAUUGGACAAUGGGCGAAAGCCUGAUCCAGCAAUGCCGCGUGCAGGAAGAAGGCCUUCGGGUUGUAAACUGCUUUUGUACGGAACGAAACGGUCCUGGUUAAUACCUGGGGCUAAUGACGGUACCGUAAGAAUAAGCACCGGCUAACUACGUGCCAGCAGCCGCGGUAAUACGUAGGGUGCAAGCGUUAAUCGGAAUUACUGGGCGUAAAGCGUGCGCAGGCGGUGCUGUAAGACAGGCGUGAAAUCCCCGGGCUCAACCUGGGAAUUGCGCUUGUGACUGCAGUGCUGGAGUGCGGCAGAGGGGGAUGGAAUUCCGCGUGUAGCAGUGAAAUGCGUAGAUAUGCGGAGGAACACCGAUGGCGAAGGCAAUCCCCUGGGCCUGCACUGACGCUCAUGCACGAAAGCGUGGGGAGCAAACAGGAUUAGAUACCCUAGUAGUCC
This 450-nucleotide ribosomal RNA is filed under the name uncultured bacterium. RNAcentral's name for it is "partial 16S ribosomal RNA". It matches the Rfam family "Bacterial small subunit ribosomal RNA", at positions 354 to 796 of the family's 1533-position model. The record is from RNAcentral.